This is a long non-coding RNA of Thrips palmi, 505 nucleotides long. RefSeq lists it as uncharacterized. The record is from RefSeq and is a predicted model, not a curated record. NCBI's taxonomy places the organism in Eukaryota, Metazoa, Arthropoda, Insecta, Thysanoptera, Thripidae. The transcript has 3 exons.
CGAGUGGAAACCGACGUGACGCAGUGCUUGCCCGACAGCGUGCUGGUCCAGGUGUUCCGACACCUGCCAUUGGAGGACCUGCUGCUGUCCCGGGCGGUGUGCAGGCGAUGGAGGGACCUGGCGCUGCACACGGAAGUUUGGUGCACCCGCGUCGUGGAGCUAGACUCGGAUCACCUCUACCGGAGACGUUGGCUGGCUCUGAACCUGGGUCUGCCCCUGGCGCCCUGCAUCCAAAGUCUAGUGGUUUCCAUGAGCAAAUUUCGCCUUCCCUCAUUCUACUUGCCACCAUCCCGUGCCCAGUGCGACAUCUCAGGAUAGUUUGCUCUCUCUACAGAGCGGAAGAUUCAGCAAAGUUGAUGAUGCGCUGUGCCCUCGAGAAGAUAAUACGUCGGCAGGUAUCCCUCCUACGGCUGAAGCAUCUUGACAUUAUUUGGGGGGGAGUGGUCUGUCAAUGAUUCGUGGCUGCAAGCCAUGUACAGGCUGCCUGGACUGGAGCGUUUGGUCG